GCCAGACUCCUACGGGAGGCAGCAGUGGGGAAUAUUGCACAAUGGGGGGAACCCUGAUGCAGCGACGCCGCGUGGGUGAAGGAGCACCUCGGUGCGUAAAGCCCUAUCGGCAGGGAAGAAAAGCGAACAGGUUCGCCUGGACGGUACCUGACUAAGAAGCCCCGGCUAACUACGUGCCAGCAGCCGCGGUAAUACGUAGGGGGCAAGCGGUAUCCGGAUUCACUGGGUGUAAAGGGAGCGUAGACGGCAAGGCAAGUCUGGAGUGAAAGCCCGUGGCUCAACCACGGGACUGCUUUGGAAACUGUGUUGCUGGAGUGCAGGAGGGGUAAGCGGAAUUCCUAGUGUAGCGGUGAAAUGCGUAAAUAUUAGGAGGAACACCGGUGGCGAAGGCGGCUUACUGGACUGUAACUGACGUUGAGGCUCGAAGGCGUGGGGAGCAAACAGGAUUAGAUACCCGGGUAAA
RNAcentral lists this ribosomal RNA (463 nucleotides) under uncultured bacterium. Its description in RNAcentral is "bacterial SSU rRNA". It matches the Rfam family "Bacterial small subunit ribosomal RNA", at positions 330 to 794 of the family's 1533-position model. The record is from RNAcentral.